CCUACGGGAGGCAGCAGUAGGGAAUAUUGCUCAAUGGGGGAAACCCUGAAGCAGCAACGCCGCGUGGAGGAUGAAGGCUUUCGGAUUGUAAACUCCUUUUGUUAGAGACGAUAAUGACGGUAUCUAACGAAUAAGCACCGGCUAACUCCGUGCCAGCAGCCGCGGUAAUACGGAGGGUGCAAGCGUUAUUCGGAAGAACUGGGCGUAAAGAGCGCGUAGGCGGGAUAGCAGGUCAGAUGUGAAAUCCUAUGGCUUAACCAUGGAACUGCAUUUGAAACUGUUAUUCUAGAGAAUGGGAGAGGUAGGUGGAAUUCUUGGUGUAGGGGUGAAAUCCGUAGAGAUCAAGAGGAAUACUCAUUGCGAAGGCGGCCUGCUAGAACAUAACUGACGCUGAUGCGCGAAAGCGUGGGGAGCAAACAGGAUUAGAUACCCUAGUAGUC
RNAcentral lists this ribosomal RNA (440 nucleotides) under uncultured bacterium. RNAcentral's name for it is "partial 16S ribosomal RNA". It matches the Rfam family "Bacterial small subunit ribosomal RNA", at positions 338 to 795 of the family's 1533-position model. The record is from RNAcentral.